UACAGAGGGCUCAAGCGUUGUUCGGAUUCAUUGGGCGUAAAGGGUGCGUAGGCGGUGUGGUAAGUCUGAUGUGAAAUCCCGGGGCUUAACUCCGAAACUGCAUUCGAUACUGCCGUGCUUGAGGACUGGAGAGGAGACUGGAAUUUACGGUGUAGCGGUGAAAUGCGUAGAUAUCGUAAGGAAGACCAGUGGCGAAGGCGGGUCUCUGGACAGUUCCUGACGCUGAGGCACGAAGGCCAGGGGAGCAAACGGG
RNAcentral lists this ribosomal RNA (253 nucleotides) under uncultured bacterium. Its description in RNAcentral is "partial 16S ribosomal RNA". It matches the Rfam family "Bacterial small subunit ribosomal RNA", at positions 524 to 776 of the family's 1533-position model. The record is from RNAcentral.